This is a long non-coding RNA of Cygnus olor (mute swan), 1277 nucleotides long. RefSeq lists it as uncharacterized. Lineage: Eukaryota; Metazoa; Chordata; Aves; Anseriformes; Anatidae. The record is from RefSeq and is a predicted model, not a curated record. The transcript is spliced from 3 exons.
CUGAACUCAAACUGAACUGCUCUAUGGGAUGUGGGUAUUUACUAGAGCUGGAAAUAACAGACUGACAGAAGGCUUAAAGGAUGUACCUUAUCAUUCCUCUUUAUCUUGAUACCAGAAUCACAGGAACACCAUACUUGAUAUAUGAGACUUAAUAUAUAAUUUUUGUGUUGGACCACACAAAAACAAAAUGAAACAAAACAAACAAACAAGAACAACAAGAAAGACCUGAGAUUUUAAAGGUGGUAUUAGAGCUUGGAUUUUUUUUUUUUUGGACCUUCUUGCAGUAAAAAUGGUGCCCUUUAUUUUGUUUCCUUCUGCAACUGAAAGACAAUGUUUAUUCAGGUAACUCAAGCUCUGCAAGGCUGGAGCAGCAGCAGGCUAGAACAUGACGGGACCACUGGUAGUUCUGAUGAAGAUACAGCUCCACCCUCCAAUUUGUAACACACAAUUGAAGUUUUUGUUUGUUUGUUUAAAUACAUUUUUAGAAGCUUCACUGAAGAUUAAGUAUUUAGCAAAGGAUAAUCUGAGAAUAGUAACACUGUAAAAUAAAGCAAGAUCUCAAGAUCCAACUGUUAACAACCUGCUGUACAAACAGUAAUUUCUGCAUGCUGAGGAAGAAACAAAAAGCUACAGAGCUUGUGCCUGGUAUCAUCAAUCCAGAGACUGUGUCUAUGCUAAUCCACAUGGAGGAUGCCCGGAAGAUCACAUAAAAUACCGCUCCUGUCUGUGAAGAGAUGCCAUCAUUCUCAAUGUUCUCAGCACUGCCAAGUGUUUGAUCUGUAAACCUAUAUUUAUGGCAACAGUUCACACUCAUACUGAAAAUCUGCAAACCGUUUUGCCCAGCAGUUUUCAGUACAUUAAUUUGCAACACAGUUGGCAGAGUAUGUAGUAAACAGAGUGGUCAUCCAGUUUUCUUCAAAGUUUUCUUCACAGAGGAUGAGCAUGUUCUUUACUUUAUCUCUCAGAGCUUGUAUAAAUGAACACUUUAUAAUGUUUUGACAUCUUACUCUAUUCCCAGAAUCAAGAAUGAAAAGAGGGGGAAAAAAGAUACAACAACAAAACAAUCAAUGCCAAUUGUUUUCUGUUACCAUACGCAGCCUUUUGCAACAGAAGAGUAGAAGGUGGUUGUUUUUUGUUUGUUUGGUUGGUUGGUUUUUUUGUCCAUAAUAGUGGUAAUUCUCCACUUUCUAACCCAAGCUUAUUUCUUGAUCACAGCAAUAAUAGCUCCGCAUGUUAUGGCUAAACAAUAUAUUAAACAAGACCCAAAUGGAUACAAC